Molecule: long non-coding RNA, 102 nt
Organism: Melanotaenia boesemani (Boeseman's rainbowfish)
Lineage: Eukaryota; Metazoa; Chordata; Actinopteri; Atheriniformes; Melanotaeniidae
Exons: 3
Source: RefSeq, a predicted model, not a curated record
UGGCAGGUAAACAUGUUGGCAGGUAAAUGUGUUUGCAGGUAAACAUGUUAGCAGGUGAACAUGUUGGCAGGUAAACGUGUUGACAGGUAAACAUGUUGGCAG